Molecule: long non-coding RNA, 2868 nt
Filed under: Homo sapiens (human)
Lineage: Eukaryota; Metazoa; Chordata; Mammalia; Primates; Hominidae
Description: non-protein coding lnc-DHX9-4:1
Source: RNAcentral
AAUGAACAAAAGGAAGUGCACUCACUGUAAUUGCUGGGCAUAGCCUUGUCCCUGGGUAAAAAGGCUCUCCUUUACUGUCUUCCCUUUUGCUUUCAUUCAAAGCAACUGUAGAAACACGUGUAAGUGAUGUUUCAGAAAUCAGGAAAGGGAUGUGUAGAAAACUUCAUGGCAGGGCAGUGGAUUGAGGAUGGACAUAUGUAUCUGGAAGCACCAAAAAUAAUGUUCGGUCUAGCUAAGGUUUUCUUCAUCAUUGAGAUACGUAAAUAGGCAGAAAGUUUCAUUAUUGUGUUUAACAGAGGAAUCUAUGUGUGAGAAACACGUUUGACUUAACACUUCACUCCCCAUUGCCUUGGAAGGCUUGAUUAUUACCAGUAGCUGGUACUAAUGAACUUCCAGAGAGAACAGACUGCCUCAAGCCAUUCUUCUGUCAAGGGAGGGUAAUUUUGUAAGGCUAAUAUCACUUAGGGGUGUUGGAAAGGAACAUGUUGUAGGCAAAUGGUUCUUUUGAUCAUGAUUUUGCUGCUCUCCGGUACACUAAACUUUAUGUAAGUAUCAGGAUUCCAGAGAAAGAAUUGGACUUAACAAAAAGUACUUUGAAAAGUGGGAUUAAAUUAUUGUGUGUGGAAUAAGUGUUAGAAAAGCAGAAUUAUUUAACAUCUUAUUUGCAGUUGAGUCAUUAAACAAAUGAAACAUUUUGAAAAUAAUUUCAUAAAAUGAUACUAUGAGGUAUCUGUUUUUCAGGGAUUGAAGAAGUAAAGUGCACUGAGUUCAGUUUUUUAAAGGUGCCUUUCUGAAGACAUAGCUAGUGACCGAGGAUUUCCUAAGAUCUGUGAGAUUGCUCUUUAUUUUCUCCUGUUAUAUUUUUUAAGUUGGCCAAAAUUAUUUUUGAAAUGUGUAUCUAAGUAUUUCUGUUUAACUUUUGACUUGUUAAAGUUUCUGUGUUCAAGUUUGAAUACUCUUGAAGUCUUAUUUUUUUCAUUUUCAGAUUUUAAAAUUUUCAAAGAAAAGGCGUUGCCUGAUGUCUGAAAUCUCAGAUGCCUGAAAUUCAAUUGACAAUUACUGAACAACAGUCUCUUAUUUACAUAAAGGUGGGGUUGUCAAUCUUGGCUCUCAGAAUUUUCUCUUGUAGGCACUGUGUAGCUAAAGGUUAUUUAAGGUGAUUUCAGAGGUAGAUAGAUUACUCAGUGAUUACUACCCUGUUGCAAAGAUAAUGCGGUAGAGUAACCCAGUAUCAGUUACGUUAGAUUGCUCCCACUGGGAGGCAGAUAUGUUAACUUUGGGUCAUGGUUGAUUAAAAGGUCAAAAGAGAUCUUAGAGUUUACCUCUAACAUCACUUUUUACUAUGAAAUGUUUUAUGCUUGGACUUGGUUUUGCUGAAAUUUUCCUCAACUUUUGGUAAUAUUCUUGCUAAAUGAAAUUCAUAAAACUAUGAGUUUAAAACUUGUAAGUUAAAAGUUAAAGUAUUUUCUUACAAGCAUUGUGAUUAACUGUAAAAAUAUGUACUUUAAACUUCUAGUUUAAACUAACUUGACUAGGAUACUUGACUUGUUCUUGGAUCAGAAAUGACAUCCUGGAAGAAAUCAUGCAUAGUGGAGGAGGUGGGAAGGGGGAAAGGUUUGUGUGUAGUGAGGUUGAGGUUUCUCUUUCUGUCCUCCCCCCCCCUUUAAUGACAAGGUUAUAUGUAUACAUGUAUGUUUCGAUCAACAAUUUAUGACAAGUAGGCAAGGUGUCAUGUGUCACUGUGUGUUUUGAUGUUUAGCAUAUUCACUCCCCAACUCCAGUUACUCCAUGGGCUGUAGCUAACUAAUUAUUUCCCAUGAAUUAAAGUACCGUGACUGUUUUGUGCAUCUAUUAAAUCUCCCUCCCAGUUCAAAUUUCACAUACCCUUAAACAAGUGAUGCAUAUUGUGCUUUGCUAUUACAGAGCAUGUGAAGCUAGAAAUGAGUAGUGUGAAAGAACUAGGUCUAGCCACCACUUUUCUAGCCUUUCUUUUGAUGUUGAACUUUAAAUACAGUAAACUUUAAAAUAAGCAGUCAAAUCAUACAUAAGAAAUGUAAGUAGUUAUGUAAGUGUUUUGGCACUGACUUUUUUAAAUUAUGAAAAUGAAACAUGACAUUGUAAAUUCAAACAGUAAGUGUAAUGACAAGUGAGUUUCUUUAUCACUAGCUGCUAAGCUCCAUGCCCUAGAGACCACCCUUCACAAUUUCUUACAUUAAUAUGACCCUCUAGAAAUUUUUCAUGCAUACACAUGUGUAUAUAAAAUUAUAGGAUCAUUUUAACUGAUACUUUUUGGGAGGCUGAGGCGUAUUUUAACAGAUGGCAAAUACAAAUCUGAUUAUUGUGCCUGUAUCAUCACUUGCUGUACAAAAGCCAGGAAAAUCAGUGUUGAUUCUGAAAACAGCGCUCUCUUAAGCACCAUACACAGUCAUCCAGGGUGCAGGGUGCAGUGCAUCCUCGGAUAAAAAGAGUUAAAGUUGCUAUGGGAACCAGAAUUGCACUUUCUGCUUGUUGUGGGGAGAAAUCUCCACCAGCCACUUUUCUAAGAAGAAGUCUUUUUUGUUUCACCUUCAACUUCUGGAUGGAUUAUUCAGUUGCUGUUAAAAAGUUUGGGUUUUAUGUCUUAUAAGUUAUAGUAAGUUUUUAUCAGUACCAGUGGGGUAGUAGUUGAUACUAAGAUUGUAGCUAAGGAUUUGCCUUUUAUCAAACAGCCCCAUUAAUUAAUUUGAUAAUCAUUGUGGAUGGAAACUUGGCAGACAGGAUCCUAAUCUUGAGAAAGGUAGCUUUUCCUCUUUCUAAAAACAAUUAGAUUAAGGAAAAGAGUGCUUAUAAAACCAACCCAAUCAAAGUUUAUGAAACUCCUAAAAUUAA